UUUACGGAGCCGGAGGCGCUACCUGAAGAAGAAGCAAACAGGACGACCAGAAGCUAUCGCCAGGGCCUUGAAGAGGUAAUUGUACAUGGAUCUUCACUACUAGCCCUCUCCUCAAUUCGCUCUUACGGAGUACUUGUUUUUGCUGACAUUUGAACAUAUCCACAUUCUUUGCUUUUUUUUUUCGAAAAGGGGGAUCACCCCGGCCUUUGCAUCCUUGCUUUUUGCAGACAGCAACUUAUGGUUCCAAGCAUUGGUACUUACAAAAACCUUAUACAUGAUUAAGCAGCUAGCAUAGGUCUUAAAUUUCUACACAUCUGCAACAGUUAUUAACCAUGUGCUCCAAUAAUGGGCAGGGUCGCUUGAGGAAGCAAAGGAAUUGCUGGCGGAUCUCCUUGGUAAAAACUAGUGUCUCUUCAUCUUCUUCUAUGCAUUAGGACCUGGUAGCUCAAAAGCAUCCAGAAUAGAAUACAUCUGAUCUACUUAUAUUGUUCUACUGUCUCAAGACACCAGCUACGAAUUUUUUGUAUCUAUGGGAACUGAUGAAUUUGUGUGACCUUCAGAUGAAACUGUAAGACCUGGCGUACAAUUGAACACCUAUGGUUUCAGCUGUCCACUUCAGCUGGGUAGGAAUGAAGG
RNAcentral lists this long non-coding RNA (636 nucleotides) under Triticum aestivum (bread wheat). RNAcentral describes it as "long non-coding RNA (TAES_LNC013578)". The record is from RNAcentral. Lineage: Eukaryota; Viridiplantae; Streptophyta; Magnoliopsida; Poales; Poaceae.